AGUGAACGCUGGCGGUAGGCCUAACACAUGCAAGUCGAACGGCAGCACAGUAAGAGCUUGCUCUUACGGGUGGCGAGUGGCGGACGGGUGAGGAAUACAUCGGAAUCUACUUUUUCGUGGGGGAUAACGUAGGGAAACUUACGCUAAUACCGCAUACGACCUACGGUUGAAAGCAGGGGAUCUUCGGACCUUGCGCGAUUGAAUGAGCCGAUGUCGGAUUAGCUAGUUGGCGGGGUAAAGGCCCACCAAGGCGACGAUCCGUAGCUGGUCUGAGAGGAUGAUCAGCCACACUGGAACUGAGACACGGUCCAGACUCCUACGGGAGGCAGCAGUGGGGAAUAUUGGACAAUGGGCGCAAGCCUGAUCCAGCCAGACCGCGUGGGUGAAGAAGGCCUUCGGGUUGUAAAGCCCUUUUGUUGGGAAAGAAAAGCAGCAGGUUAAUACCCCGCUGUUCUGACGGUACCCAAAGAAUAAGCACCGGCUAACUUCGUG
RNAcentral lists this ribosomal RNA (492 nucleotides) under uncultured bacterium. Its description in RNAcentral is "partial 16S ribosomal RNA". It matches the Rfam family "Bacterial small subunit ribosomal RNA", at positions 29 to 507 of the family's 1533-position model. The record is from RNAcentral.